GUGCAGCAGUCGCGAAACCUCCGCAAUGCUCGAAAGAGCGACGGGGGGACUCCAAGUGCCUACGCUCAGCGUAGGCUGUUCCCGAGCCUAAAAAGCUCGGGGAGUAAGGGCUGGGUAAGACGGGUGCCAGCCGCCGCGGUAAUACCCGCAGCCCGAGUGGUGGCCGCUAUUAUUGGGCCUAAAGCGUCCGUAGCCGGCUCGGUAAAUGCCUGGGUAAAUCGUCUGGCCCAACCAGACGAAUUCCGGGUAGACUGCCGGGCUAGGGACCGGAGGAGGGAGAGGGGUACUCCAGGGGUAGGGGUGAAAUCAGCAAGGUGAGUUGCUGAUGUAACUUGCCUUGCAAGUCACAAUCCUGUAAUCCCUGGAGGACCACCGGUGGCGAAGGCGCUCUCCUAGGACGGGUCCGACGGUGAGGGACGAAAGCCAGGGGAGCAAACCGGAUUAGAUACCCCCGUAGU
This 458-nucleotide ribosomal RNA is filed under the name uncultured microorganism. RNAcentral describes it as "bacterial SSU rRNA". It matches the Rfam family "Archaeal small subunit ribosomal RNA", at positions 330 to 745 of the family's 1478-position model. The record is from RNAcentral.